GACGAACCGUGCGAACGUUAUUCGGAAUCAUUGGGCUUAAAGCGCGUGUAGGCGGGUCGGCGCGUCGGCCGCUGAAAUCCCCCGGCUCAACCGGGGAAGCGGCGCCGAUACGGCCGGCCUGGAGGGACGUAGGGGGGGCUGGAACUUCCGGUGGAGCGGUGAAAUGCGUUGAGAUCGGAAGGAACGCCCGUGGCGAAAGCGAGCCCCUGGACGUCUACUGACGCUGAGACGCGAAAGCCAGGGGAGCGAACGGG
RNAcentral lists this ribosomal RNA (254 nucleotides) under uncultured bacterium. RNAcentral describes it as "partial 16S ribosomal RNA". It matches the Rfam family "Bacterial small subunit ribosomal RNA", at positions 524 to 776 of the family's 1533-position model. The record is from RNAcentral.